GCUGGCGUGACGCUGGUGUAGGGGUUAAGCGUGCGACCACAUAUAGAGGCUAUAGUCCUCAAAGCGGCCGUCCCAGGUUCGAGUCCUGGACCCGGCG
Molecule: non-coding RNA, 97 nt
Organism: Ataeniobius toweri
Lineage: Eukaryota; Metazoa; Chordata; Actinopteri; Cyprinodontiformes; Goodeidae
Source: the annotation of a GenBank genome assembly